AUCUCUUGUUGGUCCUUUGGCCAAGAUUGGGUGUAGUAUCUGUUCUAAACAGUGUUACUAGCUGAUACGCCCCCUCUCUGGGGCCUAUUUAUUAAAGGGAAUUUUAGAAUAGGGAGAUGGAGGAAAAGCUUUCUCUUUCCACUCCACACCUGGUAUUGCAGUACUUCCAGGACCGGCACACAAU
Pseudophryne corroboree (corroboree frog) is the source of this 184-nucleotide small nuclear RNA. RefSeq annotates it as U2 spliceosomal RNA. The transcript has a single exon. The record is from RefSeq and is a predicted model, not a curated record. NCBI's taxonomy places the organism in Eukaryota, Metazoa, Chordata, Amphibia, Anura, Myobatrachidae.